This 739-nucleotide ribosomal RNA is filed under the name uncultured archaeon. RNAcentral describes it as "bacterial SSU rRNA". It matches the Rfam family "Archaeal small subunit ribosomal RNA", at positions 1 to 750 of the family's 1478-position model. The record is from RNAcentral.
UUCCGGUUGAUCCUGCCGGACCCGACUGCUAUCAGAGUGGGACUAAGCCAUGCGAGUCGACGUAGCAAUGCGUGGCGAACGGCUCAGUAACACGUAGUCAACAUGCCCAGGGGACGUGGAUAACCUCGGGAAACUGAGAAUAAACCACGAUAGGUCACGAUUUCUGGAAUGGAUCAUGGCAUAAAUCUACAUGGCCCCUGGAUUGGACUGCGGCCGAUCAGGCAGUUGGUGAGGUAAUGGCCCACCAAACCUAUAACCGGUACGGGCUCUGAGAGGAGAAGCCCGGAGAUGGGCACUGAGACAAGGGCCCAGGCCCUAUGGGGCGCAGCAGGCGCGAAACCUCUGCAAUAGGCGAAAGCCUGACAGGGUUACUCUGAGUGAUUUCCGCUAAGGGGAUCUUUUGGCACCUCUAAAAAUGGUGCAGAAUAAGGGGUGGGCAAGUCUGGUGUCAGCCGCCGCGGUAAUACCAGCACCCCGAGUGGUCGGGACGAUUAUUGGGCCUAAAGCAUCCGUAGCCGGUUCUGCAUGUCUUCCGUUAAAUCCAGCCGCUCAACGGAUGGGCCGCGGAGGAUACUAUAGGACUAGGAGGCGGGAGAGGCAAGCGGUACUCAGUGGGUAGGGGUAAAAUCCUUUGAUCCAUUGAAGACCACCAGUGGCGAAGGCGGCUUGCCAGAACGCGCUCGACGGUGAGGGAUGAAAGCUGGGGGAGCAACCGGAUUAGAUACCCGGGUAGUCCCAG